Non-coding RNA from Podarcis muralis (Common wall lizard), 250 nucleotides. Lineage: Eukaryota; Metazoa; Chordata; Lepidosauria; Squamata; Lacertidae. The record is from RefSeq and is a predicted model, not a curated record.
CCUCCCCUUCCUGCAGGGGGGGGGUUGCUUUCUGCUAUUGCAAAGGCUGCCUUGCUCUCUUCCACGGGGAUCUGACGCUGCUUACUCCUUUGGGAAGGGCAAUCCUCUCCUGGGAUCUGGUGACAGAACGGUGAUGGCAAGACCUCUUCAUCCAUCUCUGAAUGGGGACAGAAUGGAAGCAGCGGCUGUGGAACCAGAUCAGGGUCCAGUGUGCUUUGAAGAUAUUGCUGUUUGUUUCACGGAUGAGGAG